CAAUAGCGUAUAUUAAAGUUGUUGCAGUUAAAAAGCUCGUAGUUGAAUUUUUGCUUGCCGCCGAUGUCGGAACUUCCGUACGUUCGGCGGCGUGCAUCCUUGGGUGGAGCCUGUGUGGCAUUAGGUUGUCGUGCAGGGGAUGCUCAUCGUUUACUGUGAAAAAAUUAGAGUGUUCAAAGCAGGCUUACGCCGUUGAAUAUAUUAGCAUGGAAUAAUAAGAUAGGACCUUGGUACUAUUUUGUUGGUUUGCGCACCGAGGUAAUGAUUAACAGGGACAGUUGGGGGUAUUCGUAUUCCAUUGUCAGAGGUGAAAUUCUUGGGUUUCUGGAAGACGAACUACUGCGAAAGCAUUUACCAAGGAUGUUUUCAUUA
This 372-nucleotide ribosomal RNA is filed under the name uncultured eukaryote. RNAcentral's name for it is "partial 18S ribosomal RNA". It matches the Rfam family "Eukaryotic small subunit ribosomal RNA", at positions 592 to 975 of the family's 1831-position model. The record is from RNAcentral.